AAGUUGAAAAGUACUUUGAAGAGAGAGUUCAAGAGGACGUGAAACCGGUAGGAUGGAAACGGAUAGAGCCAACGAACAAGCCCGUAUUCAGCUAGUCGGCUGCGUGCGGCACGCCUGUGCGCUCGAUAGGGUGUAUUGGUGUGUGCGGUAUGCGGUUCUUGGCUAGUGCAUUUGCGGGUGAUGUGCGCCGAGGCGCGUGGUGGUGUCCAGCGAACCGUCUGGAGAGGACUUGCCUUCGGGCUUGAAACCUACAGGCGGGGAGUAGGGUUACUGCUGCACGUAGUCUCGUGACUAGGUGCAAACGCGGUGUCGUGCUGUCGGGCUAGCUGCUCGGUCGGUCGCAUGCGACUAGGCCUUGUUGGUUGGUCUUGGUGGUGCGGUACUGCCCUGGUCUACCCUCGGUGUAAAAGUUGGUCAUCUCUCCGACCCGUCUUGAAACACGGACCAAGGAGUCUAGCGUAUACGCGAGUCAUUGGGUGGAAAACCCAUAGGCGCAAUGAAAGUGAAGGUCCUCUUUACGAGGCUGAUAUGCGACCCGUUGCACUUCGGUGUACGCGGAGCAGCAUAGCCCCGUCUCGACUGCUUGCAGUGGGGCGGAGGUAGAGCGUAUGCGCUGGUACCCGAAAGAUGGUGAACUAUGCCUGAGCAGGAUGAAGCCAGAGGAAACUCUGGUGGAGGUCCGAAGCGCUUCUGACGUGCAAAUCGAUCGUCUGACUUGGGUAUAGGGGCGAAA
This 733-nucleotide ribosomal RNA is filed under the name Acrobeloides maximus. RNAcentral describes it as "LSU rRNA". It matches the Rfam family "Eukaryotic large subunit ribosomal RNA", at positions 361 to 928 of the family's 3401-position model. The record is from RNAcentral. Lineage: Eukaryota; Metazoa; Nematoda; Chromadorea; Rhabditida; Cephalobidae.